This 253-nucleotide ribosomal RNA is filed under the name uncultured bacterium. RNAcentral describes it as "partial 16S ribosomal RNA". It matches the Rfam family "Bacterial small subunit ribosomal RNA", at positions 524 to 776 of the family's 1533-position model. The record is from RNAcentral.
UACGUAGGGGGCAAGCGUUGUCCGGAAUCAUUGGGCGUAAAGAGCGUGUAGGCGGCCCGGUAAGUCCGCCGUGAAAGUCCAGGGCUCAACCCUGGGAUGCCGGUGGAAACUGUCGGGCUCGAGUCCGGAAGAGGCGAGUGGAAUUCCUGGUGUAGCGGUGAAAUGCGCAGAUAUCAGGAGGAACACCAGCGGCGAAGGCGGCGCUCUGGGCCGGUACUGACGCUGAGACGCGAAAGCGUGGGGAGCGAACAGG